Molecule: long non-coding RNA, 198 nt
Organism: Zingiber officinale
Lineage: Eukaryota; Viridiplantae; Streptophyta; Magnoliopsida; Zingiberales; Zingiberaceae
Exons: 3
Source: RefSeq, a predicted model, not a curated record
UUGUUCUUGAUUCGUUUAAUUCCAACAGUAAGGUUCUUUUCUGCAGGGUUGUGUGAUGUGGAUCAACUAGCAAGGUUGGGAAGAAGGAAGUUGGAUGUUUGUUUGGGUGUUGGAUGAGUUUUGGAAGAAAAGGGUGAGGGUUUUGAUUUGAGACAAGAGCUCUGAUUAGAGGACAUACAACACGAUCUACAUUGGAGG